Molecule: ribosomal RNA, 268 nt
Filed under: uncultured bacterium
Lineage: Bacteria
Description: partial large subunit ribosomal RNA
Rfam family: Bacterial small subunit ribosomal RNA
Source: RNAcentral
GAGCACGUAGGUGGGUUUGUAAGUCAGAUGUGAAAGCCUUCUGUUCAACGGAAGAAUUGCAUUUGAAACUACAAACCUUGAGUGUAGGAGGGGAGAAUGGAACUUCUGGUGGAGCGGUGAAAUGCGUAGAUAUCAGAAGGAAUGCCGGCGGCGAAAGCGAUUCUCCGGCCUAUAACUGACACUGAGUGUGCGAAAGCUAGGGGAGCAAACGGGAUUAGAUACCCCGGUAGUCCUAGCCGUAAACGAUGGGCACUAAGUAGAGGGGUUU